Long non-coding RNA from Nyctereutes procyonoides (raccoon dog), 1073 nucleotides. RefSeq lists it as uncharacterized. Lineage: Eukaryota; Metazoa; Chordata; Mammalia; Carnivora; Canidae. The transcript has 4 exons. The record is from RefSeq and is a predicted model, not a curated record.
GACACGAGGGAGAGGUACGCACGGCUGGGGACCGCAGGGCAGGCGGAGGCACACUGACCCGCGCCAGCCCGAGGGCCGCGACGGGACAGACGUGCACCAGGUGUGGGAGGGCCACUGACGCUUCCAGCCAGACCGUAAAACAGCCCGGGAGCUGCCGUGCUUGAGGCAGCGGAGGACGGACACACAGACAGGCAGACCGGCCAGCGCGGCACAGGUGGCGUCUGGACCGCUCGCUGUUUAACCGAUGGUGCUGGGCCCCCUGGGGAGCCACCGGGAAGAGAUACAAGGCGGAGCUGGGGGCAGGCGGCCCCGGGGGAAGCCGGGCCACGCGGGGGGCCCCACGCCUCUCAGUCCCGUUUCUCACCCACCACUGGCUGCAGGGACAGCACGGCACUCCCGUCUCACACACUCAGAAAGUGAAAACAAAUAAAAUAAAAACGUAUGAAGAGAGGGAAAAACUGAAAUGCAAACAAACAAAUGAACCAAACCACAUCUGAAGUGAGUAACACAACCGCGGAGGCCAGGACGGGGCGCGACGAGCGACCCACGCAGCUCUGAGGCGCAGGGCUCGGGCCGUAUUUCACGGCACGCGCUGAACAAACACCCGACCCGGUGAGCGGCUUGCUCUCCCCUGGAGGCACAGAUUGAGGAAUUCUUUCGGAGCCUAUUCUGGGAUUAAAUCAGCAAGCUCUAGAAUUAGGGCACUUCCAUCACAUAAAAAAAGGGUGACACUUGCAGAAGCUCAGAAGCCAUCUCCAAGAGAGCCGACACCGGGUGAACUUUGAGAAGAUUCGGAGCGGUCCCUUAGGGAGCAGCAGGGAAAGGAUGCUUCUCAUCUGCGCGGGUGUAGACGUUGGAUACGCCGCGUGCUCUGGCGCACGGCUGACGGCGGCCAGCUGACUGCGGCUAAGCGCCGAGACCCUUCCUUCUGGGUGUCCUCCUUCUAGGUCACUCCCCAUCCUAGUCGUGCGGAGGCCCACCUGUGUGCACUGUGCACAGGUCCCUCCCGGCUGAUGGCGCUGCAGGCCCCAGGACCCCUUCAUCUGGGUGUGCGCGGUGCAGGGCGGCAACAG